RNAcentral lists this ribosomal RNA (445 nucleotides) under uncultured bacterium. RNAcentral's name for it is "partial 16S ribosomal RNA". It matches the Rfam family "Bacterial small subunit ribosomal RNA", at positions 354 to 796 of the family's 1533-position model. The record is from RNAcentral.
GUGAGGAAUAUUGGUCAAUGGGCGGGAGCCUGAACCAGCCAAGUCGCGUGAAGGAAGAAGGAUCUAUGGUUCGUAAACUUCUUUUGCAGGGGAAUAAAGUGCAGGACGUGUCCUGUUUUGUAUGUACCCUGAGAAUAAGGAUCGGCUAACUCCGUGCCAGCAGCCGCGGUAAUACGGAGGAUCCGAGCGUUAUCCGGAUUUAUUGGGUUUAAAGGGUGCGUAGGUGGUUUGAUAAGUCAGCGGUGAAAGUUUGCAGCUUAACUGUAAAAAUGCCGUUGAAACUGUCGGACUUGAGUGUAAAUGAGGUAGGCGGAAUGCGUGGUGUAGCGGUGAAAUGCAUAGAUAUCACGCAGAACUCCGAUUGCGAAGGCAGCUUCUUGGUCCAUACCUGACGCUGAAACACGAAAGCGUGGGGAGCAAACAGGAUUAGAUACCCCGGUAGUCC